This 942-nucleotide ribosomal RNA is filed under the name uncultured Bacillota bacterium. RNAcentral's name for it is "bacterial SSU rRNA". It matches the Rfam family "Bacterial small subunit ribosomal RNA", at positions 20 to 917 of the family's 1533-position model. Lineage: Bacteria; Bacillati; Bacillota. The record is from RNAcentral.
UGGCUCAGGAUCAACUCCGGCGGUGUGCCUAAUACAUGCAAGUCGUACGCACUGGCCCAACUGAUUGAUGGUGCUUGCACCUGAUUGACGAUGGAUUACCAGUGAGUGGCGGACGGGUGAGUAACACGUAGGUAACCUGCCCCGGAGCGGGGGAUAACAUUUGGAAACAGAUGCUAAUACCGCAUAACAACAAAAGCCACAUGGCUUUUGUUUGAAAGAUGGCUUUGGCUAUCGCUCUGGGAUGGACCUGCGGUGCAUUAGCUAGUUGGUAAGGUAACGGCUUACCAAGGCGAUGAUGCAUAGCCGAGUUGAGAGACUGAUUGGCCACAAUGGAACUGAGACACGGUCCAUACUCCUACGGGAGGCAGCAGUAGGGAAUCUUCCACAAUGGGCGCAAGCCUGAUGGAGCAACACCGCGUGAGUGAAGAAGGGUUUCGGCUCGUAAAGCUCUGUUGUUGGAGAAGAACGUGCGUGAGAGUAACUGUUCACGCAGUGACGGUAUCCAACCAGAAAGUCACGGCUAACUACGUGCCAGCAGCCGCGGUAAUACGUAGGUGGCAAGCGUUAUCCGGAUUUAUUGGGCGUAAAGCGAGCGCAGGCGGUUGCUUAGGUCUGAUGUGAAAGCCUUCGGCUUAACCGAAGAAGUGCAUCGGAAACCGGGCGACUUGAGUGCAGAGGAGGGCAGUGGAACUCCAAGUGUAGCGGUGGAAUGCGUAGAUAUAUGGAAGAACACCAGUGGCGAAGGCGGCUGUCUGGUCUGCAACUGACGCUGAGGCUCUAAAGCAUGGGUAGCGAACAGGAUUAGAUACCCUGGUAGUCCAUGCCGUAAACGAUGAGUGCUAGGUGUUGGAGGGUUUCCGCCCUUCAGUGCCGGAGCUAACGCAUUAAGCACUCCGCCUGGGGAGUACGACCGCAGGGUUGCAACUCAAAGGAAUUGACGGA